Podarcis lilfordi (Lilford's wall lizard) is the source of this 77-nucleotide non-coding RNA. Lineage: Eukaryota; Metazoa; Chordata; Lepidosauria; Squamata; Lacertidae. The record is from the annotation of a GenBank genome assembly.
GGUGAAUGACUGUAGCUCAGCGGUAGAGCAUUAGCUUUGCAUGCAAAAUUUCUCAGGUUCAAUCCCCAGCAUCUCCA